RNAcentral lists this ribosomal RNA (2563 nucleotides) under Stenobiella muellerorum. RNAcentral's name for it is "SSU rRNA". It matches the Rfam family "Eukaryotic small subunit ribosomal RNA". Lineage: Eukaryota; Metazoa; Arthropoda; Insecta; Neuroptera; Berothidae. The record is from RNAcentral.
UGAUCCUUGCCAGUAGUCAUAUGCUUGUCUCAAAGAUUAAGCCAUGCAUGUCUCAGUACAAGCCAAAUUAAGGUGAAACCGCGAAAGGCUCAUUAUAUCAGUUAUGGUUCCUUAGAUCGUACCCACAUUUACUUGGAUAACUGUGGUAAUUCUAGAGCUAAUACAUGCAAACAGAGUUCCAACCAGAGAUGGAAGGAAUGCUUUUAUUAGAUCAAAACCAAUCGAUGUUGUCAUAUAUUUAUAUUUUUUAUAUUUAUAUAUGUUGCAUCGUUUUAUUUGGUGACUCUGAAUAACUUUAAGCUGAUCGCACGGUCUCGUACCGGCGACGCAUCUUUCAAAUGUCUGCCUUAUCAACUGUCGAUGGUAGGUUCUGCGCCUACCAUGGUUGUAACGGGUAACGGGGAAUCAGGGUUCGAUUCCGGAGAGGGAGCCUGAGAAACGGCUACCACAUCCAAGGAAGGCAGCAGGCGCGCAAAUUACCCACUCCCGGCACGGGGAGGUAGUGACGAAAAAUAACGAUACGGGACUCAUCCGAGGCCCCGUAAUCGGAAUGAGUACACUUUAAAUCCUUUAACGAGGAUCCAUUAGAGGGCAAGUCUGGUGCCAGCAGCCGCGGUAAUUCCAGCUCUAAUAGCGUAUAUUAAAGUUGUUGCGGUUAAAAAGCUCGUAGUCGAAUCUGUGUCUUACACUGUCGGUUCACCGCUCGCGGUGUUCAACUGGCAUGUUAUGUGAGACGUCCUACCGGUGGGUGGUUUAAAUUAUUGUUUAUAUUUUUACUCCUAUAUAUUGUUGUAUGCAACCAAUGUUAGUUAUAUAUUAUAGGUUUUAUGUUAAUAUGUUAAUUUUAUCAGUAUCGGCUUUACAUUUUAAAGGGGAUGAUAUUUUAGUUAUGGGUAACAUAAUGAUUUAUAUAUUUUAUUAUAGUGUUUUAUUUUUUUUUAAUAAUAUAUUUUCUUGGAUAUAUAUUUCUAUAUUUAUAUAUAGAAUAUAUUGAAAAGUUAUAUAUUUAUUAUAUUAAAUGAACCUAUAUAUUCAAAAAAAAAUAUAUAUUAUCAUUCCAUAUACUAUAUAUUAUCUCUGUUUAGUGACAGAUUUGAUAAUAUAUUAACAUAUAUUAAAAUAACAUAUAACAACUAGAUAUAUUAACUACUUGGAUUCAAAUUGUAUAUUUUACUUAAUAUAUAGAUUAAUGAGUUGAAAAUAUAUAACAUUAAAAUAAUUUAUCGUAAGUGUUUAGCCGUGAAGAACGGCGACAGCCCCCAAUUGCAAUCCUGUCGCGGUGCUCUUAAUUGAGUGUCGAGAUGGGCCGGUACGUUUACUUUGAACAAAUUAGAGUGCUUAAGGCAGGCUAAAAUUUCGCCUGAAUAUUGUGUGCAUGGAAUAAUGGAAUAGGACCUCGGUUCUAUUUUGUUGGUUUUCGGAACUCCGAGGUAAUGAUUAAUACGGACAGAUGGGGGCAUUCGUAUUGCGACGUUAGAGGUGAAAUUCUUGGAUCGUCGCAAGACGGACAGAAGCGAAAGCAUUUGCCAAAAAUGUUUUGAUUGAUCAAGAACGAAAGUUAGAGGUUCGAAGGCGAUCAGAUACCGCCCUAGUUCUAACCAUAAACGAUGCCAGCUAGCGAUCCGCCGAAGUUCUUCCGAUGACUCGGCGGGCAGCUUCCGGGAAACCAAAGCUUUUGGGUUCCGGGGGAAGUAUGGUUGCAAAGCUGAAACUUAAAGGAAUUGACGGAAGGGCACCACCAGGAGUGGAGCCUGCGGCUUAAUUUGACUCAACACGGGAAACCUCACCAGGCCCGGACACCGGAAGGAUUGACAGAUUGAGAGCUCUUUCUUGAUUCGGUGGGUGGUGGUGCAUGGCCGUUCUUAGUUGGUGGAGCGAUUUGUCUGGUUAAUUCCGAUAACGAACGAGACUCUAGCCUGCUAAAUAGACGUACCUUACCGGCAUCUCAAGGCCCAUCGGCUGUUAUUUAUCGUUACGGUUUGUUACUUACUUUUUUAAUAUAAUUAUAUUCUUCCUCAUGUUCUCAUAUUACAUAUAUAUAUAUUUAUAUAUUUAUAUGUGUAUGGGUUAUGUGGGGUGGUUAUAUUAUAUUGGAAGUUUGUUAACACGUACGGUUUACAGUUUUUUGGUGUGGUUUUUACUGCCGGCGUACAUAUUAAUCUUCUUAGAGGGACAGGCGGCUUCUAGCCGCACGAGAUUGAGCAAUAACAGGUCUGUGAUGCCCUUAGAUGUUCUGGGCCGCACGCGCGCUACACUGAAGGAAUCAGCGUGUCUUCCCUGGCCGAAAGGUCCGGGUAACCCGCUGAACCUCCUUCGUGCUAGGGAUUGGGGCUUGCAAUUGUUCCCCAUGAACGAGGAAUUCCCAGUAAGCGCGAGUCAUAAGCUCGCGUUGAUUACGUCCCUGCCCUUUGUACACACCGCCCGUCGCUACUACCGAUUGAAUGAUUUAGUGAGGCCUUCGGACUGGUACACGGCAAAAUGUUUCUGACAUUUACCGUAGUUGCUGGGAAGAUGGCCAAACUUGAUCAUUUAGAGGAAGUAAAAGUCGUAACAAGGUUUCCGU